UAGGGAAUCUUCGGCAAUGGGGGGAACCCUGACCGAGCAACGCCGCGUGAGUGAAGAAGGUUUUCGGAUCGUAAAGCUCUGUUGUUAAGGAAGAACGUGUGUGAGAGUGGAAAGUUCACACAGUGACGGUACUUAACCAGAAAGGGACGGCUAACUACGUGCCAGCAGCCGCGGUAAUACGUAGGUCCCGAGCGUUGUCCGGAUUUAUUGGGCGUAAAGCGAGCGCAGGCGGUUAGAUAAGUCUGAAGUGAAAGGCAGUGGCUCAACCAUUGUAGGCUUUGGAAACUGUUUAACUUGAGUGCAGAAGGGGAGAGUGGAAUUCCAUGUGUAGCGGUGAAAUGCGUAGAUAUAUGGAGGAACACCGGUGGCGAAAGCGGCUCUCUGGCUUGUAACUGACGCUGAGGCUCGAAAGCGUGGGGAGCAAACAGGAUUAGAUACCCUGGUAGUCCACGCCGUAAACGAUGAGUGCUAGGUGUUAGACCCUUUCCGGGGUUUAGUGCCGUAGCUAACGCAUUAAGCACUCCGCCUGGGGAGUACGACCGCAAGGUUG
Molecule: ribosomal RNA, 550 nt
Filed under: uncultured bacterium
Lineage: Bacteria
Description: bacterial SSU rRNA
Rfam family: Bacterial small subunit ribosomal RNA
Source: RNAcentral